CACGGACAAGAUUGACAGAUUGAGAGCUCUUCAGUUCCACGGGUGUUGGUGCCUGGCCGUUCUUGGUGGAGGAAUUUGUCUAGUCAAAGCCAAUAAUAAACAAGACUCCAGCAUGCUAACUAGGUAUGCAACCCUCUGGUGGUUGGCGUCCAUCUCCUUCAAGAGACAAGUAGCAUUCUGCAACAUGAGGUAAGGCAACAACAGAUCUGUGAUGCUCUU
Molecule: non-coding RNA, 219 nt
Filed under: Opisthocomus hoazin
Lineage: Eukaryota; Metazoa; Chordata; Aves; Opisthocomiformes; Opisthocomidae
Description: Eukaryotic small subunit ribosomal RNA
Rfam family: Eukaryotic small subunit ribosomal RNA
Source: Rfam by way of RNAcentral